Non-coding RNA from Xyrichtys novacula (pearly razorfish), 523 nucleotides. Lineage: Eukaryota; Metazoa; Chordata; Actinopteri; Labriformes; Labridae. The record is from the annotation of a GenBank genome assembly.
GUCCCGCGAGAGAAAUGUUUAAUGGAAUGUUGAUGUCCCAAGGAGAGUUGGUCUAUGGAGCAACUACAGUUACUAUAAUAGGGGAGAGUGGGGUAAGAUGAGACAUUUUUUUAUAUUUCGGAUCACUACAUCAAGGCAAUCAUAGUUUUGUCUCUGACUAGUGUAUCUGCAUGUAUUUCAAGAUGUUGUGCACCCCUGCAAACCAACAGAAUGUCCAAAGUGGUCUCCUAUGGUCAACUUACCCCGUGUAUGGGGUAAGUUGACCAUAGGAGUGGGGUAAAUUGAGCUGUAUCCCUACUAACCCCUCCACUCUCCACCCCAGCCCUCCCUGACCUUCUCUCUCCCUUAAUAACAGUCACUUCUUCACAUUCAUGUGUAUUUUUUAUCUAUUAUACACUAUUCAACUGGGACAAUGAUUCUUUUUAUUAUUAUUAUUAUUGCAUAUAACUGCGGUCAUCAGACUUUUGAACUCCUCCCUCAGAGACCCUGACACCUUCAGUCAGUAGUCUUUACCUGGACUCUG